UUACGACCAUAUCACGUUGGACCACCGGCUCUCGUACGAACACCGAAGUUAAGCAACGUCAAUCCUGGUCAGUACCUAGAUGGGUGACCGCUUGGGAGUAGCAGGUACUGUAAG
Non-coding RNA from Acanthosepion pharaonis, 114 nucleotides. The record is from the annotation of a GenBank genome assembly. Lineage: Eukaryota; Metazoa; Mollusca; Cephalopoda; Sepiida; Sepiidae.